RNAcentral lists this ribosomal RNA (468 nucleotides) under uncultured bacterium. Its description in RNAcentral is "partial 16S ribosomal RNA". It matches the Rfam family "Bacterial small subunit ribosomal RNA", at positions 28 to 507 of the family's 1533-position model. The record is from RNAcentral.
GACGAACGCUGGCGGCGUGCUUAACACAUGCAAGUCGAACGGAAAGGCCCUGCUUUUGUGGGGUGCUCGAGUGGCGAACGGGUGAGUAACGCGUGAGUAACCUGCCCUUGACUUUGGGAUAACUUCAGGAAACUGGGGCUAAUACCGGAUAGGAGCUCCUGCUGCAUGGUGGGGGUUGGAAAGUUUCGGCGGUUGGGGAUGGACUCGCGGCUUAUCAGCUUGUUGGUGGGGUAGUGGCUUACCAAGGCUUUGACGGGUAGCCGGCCUGAGAGGGUGACCGGCCACAUUGGGACUGAGAUACGGCCCAGACUCCUGCGGGAGGCAGCAGUGGGGAAUAUUGCACAAUGGGUGGAAGCCUGAUGCAGCAACGCCGCGUGCGGGAUGACGGCCUUCGGGUUGUAAACCGCUUUCGCCUGUGACGAAGCGUGAGUGACGGUAAUGGGUAAAGAAGCACCGGCUAACUACGUG